CCUUAAAGAGACAGGCACGGCGGGACCCCUCGGCCUCGGGAGCAGCGACGUUGCCCCAGCCCUGCAGACCCCCGGCGGCCGGCGCCUGCCCGGGCCGGGCGAGGGCAGUGGCUCCCCGUGACGGCGCUGAACGCCGCGCGCUCUCAUGCCUUCCCCCCCCCCCCCCCAGCUGUACUUCACGGACAGGAUCCUUAUUCUGGGAAGCGGUUCCAGCAAGAAGGUGUUGUCUCCUCGUAAGAAUAGGGCUUUAAGACUUCACGUUUCAGUGGCGAAGGUACUGCGACAUUGGAUGGGGCGUUUUUUCUGCCGGCGUCAGGCGGGCAGCAGAGUCCCGAGCCCCUGGAAACGAGCUGUGGAGAGGAAGGGAUCGGGGAAAAGGCUCCCGCGGCUUGGCUGCCGCGGCUGGAGAGCACCGCAGGCUCCAGGAAGUGUCUUCCCAGGCCUGCUGCGGUGCCGGCAAGCUGCAACGUGAACGCCUGAUUUUCCCCCCAAAAAGAGUUAGGCAUCUAGUGGUGCUGUGUCCUAAAACGACCCCAGGACCGUUUUUCUGCCAACCUCCAUAGCAGGCAAUGCCGUGCGGUGAUGCACACAUGAGGUAUAGGCUCAGGGCUUUUUUCCUGUCUCUGCGCUUUUCGUGCUUAGUUUUGUUCUUAAGCAGUUUGUAUUCCUGAUGAGCUGCAGUAUAAAUCCACAUGUGAAAUGGAUGUGGUUUAGUUGCAUCAAUUGUGGUGCCCAUAUCCCAAAUCUAUAGUCUCAAAACUUGCACUUGGCUGUUAGUACUCUAUUUCUUAUAGUUAAAUUAUAUAUACUGAGAUUUUUGGUCGUAAAUUCUCUUUUUUGUUGACAGAGGUCUGGCUAAGGCCUGCAACUGCCAAGCAUCCGUCCUCAAUGGGGCAUGCCAUCCAGGUGUUGCCUUGCUCAUGGGAGCUCCAAGGGCUGGUCCAGUAGUCAGGAGCUCAGAACUCUGAAGCAGAGUAGCAGUCGUCCUGAUAAAGGUGGUAGUGACAUCAAUCUUCCACCACUGCCUAGGGCUCAGAGGAACAGGAGGCACCUAUGGAAGUGACUCCUUUUUCUGAAAUAGAGUCUAUAACCAAAAUCUGUUUCCUCUGUGGUGAGUGCUAUAACCACUAGCAUCUGGAUGGCAGCUCAUUCCUUAUCCUUUUGAAGAACCUUUUUGCUUAAAGUGGUAGCAGAACACUUCCAACUCCUCUGAAAUAGAGGACAUCCACCACGUACCAGGAUCAAGUCUUGACAGUCAGAAGUAUAGCUGCCGUAUUUGCAAAUAUGCCUGUCACCCAAGUGCCUGAAAGAUGUGCAAGAACAGAACAACUCACUCUGCAGAGCUGCAGGCAUCUCUGGAAAUGUGAUGGAUGAGCUUAGAGGAUUUCACCAUUAUAUCCGCAACCUGGAGGAGGACAAGUCCAGUUGUGAAAUAAACACUGUAUCUGAAGAAAUUGAAUUCUGCAAAUAACAGGAGGAUUUGCUGUUACUUGUCGCCUGCAUGAGUCUGGCAUGAGGUACAGACCUCCAAGGAGAAAGUACUAGAAACAACCUCAACGGGGAGUCCAGAGUAUCUUCUGUGGGAUGGAGAACUGCCAUCAGUCUCCUGGAGUGGAGAAAAAUGGAUUCUGGAAGCAAAUUGAAAUGGUGCCUGCCAUAACAGAGUUCCUAUCAGACAAAGGAAGAAUAAAGCUGAAGAUAGCGAAUUAAUAGUACCCCCUUUAACAACAGUCACUUACUUCCUGCAAUCAAAACCAUGCUAGCAUGUGGCCUGUUCAAAUAAAAAUUACUGGACCAGAGCCAAACACGAAAAAGUAAUUGAUAAUGUGGUCUUUCAGAACUCAACCAUCCAUCAAAUGUGUCACUCCUCCAUAAUAGUUUAUUGCCCCUUCUGAACAAAGAUCUUUAAAAUUCAUUGUAUGCACUUAAAAACAAAGUGUCCUUGUCCUGGUUUAUAAUGAUUCUCUUUUAGUUUGGGUUUGUUUUGUUAUUUAAUUACAUUCUCUUCUGUUGUGCAUAUUUGUACAGAUAGUGGCUGGAAGUUUCGGCUGCUCUUAAACAAAGAAUCUUUUGUGCUGUAUCAGCUUGCAUUUUCCUUGGAUUGUGUUGUGCUGGUGUCUUUUCACUAAUUUCAGCACUGGACUAUUGUAGUCAUAGCUUCCCUAAGUAGACUGUAACAAACAGAUUCAUUGGCCCUUUUGUCUGUGCUGCAUCUUAUUAACCAAUCCAUGGGAAAUACUCUUUAUGUUGUUAAGGUGUAUGCAGUAAUGCAAACGAUAAAUUAACCUUAAAUAGAGAAAGCUUUGAGACUUCUAAUACAGUAACCUAGCAGAAACCAGUUUAUAAAAGCUUUCUACCUACCAAAUUUCAUGGAUAUUUUUGUUAAAAUGUGCUGUACCUAUUUUCUACACCAACAUUUUACUAUUAACUUUACAAAACAGAUAUUAUGAAUAAUGCUCUGUAAAUUCCUAAUAUGAGAUAGCAAGGGAGAGAUAAAUACUAGAUUAUUUAAUUGAAUUAGUGUAUUUGUUUAUCCUCACAGUUUAAGAACAACAAUGAACACAAUCAUAGGAAGAUUAUUAUUCUGAAUUAGAGAGCAGCAUUUACAUAUCUAUUGCACCAGUUUUAUAGGGGCUGCUAAUGAUAACCUUCAAAUUACAGACCACAAUCUAGGUGAGAGGUCAAGUCCUGUCAUGCUAAUUAAUUCAUAAAUAAGUACUUCGGAAUCUAAUGUUUAGAUUGCUUUUUUUUUUAUUAUAAAGUGUUGAAGCUCACAACUUUUGUACUGAGCAGGAUGUAAUUACUCAUGAUGAUGCAGGAGUAACUGCAUCUUGAGUAGGCAGAGAUAAGGAUGGAUGUGCAGUUUUGGUAACAGACAAGAACUAGGGUCAUACUUGAAUGAAGAGCCACUCUCCCUGCUCUCCUUAAAUGAGAUAUGCAUGGUCUCUGGAUCCGGUGGGGGGGAGGGCUUUGUACUCACACAUUGUUUCUAACCCAUCCUUUCACUUUAGGGAAUUCUUUAGUUAUGGAUUCACACUCAGUUUGUUUCUGAAAGAAAAAGAACUGCAUCACCUACUCCCUUUCCUGGAAACUAAAGGCCCAAAAAGAACAAAAAUAAUUUUACAAAUCCUGCACCUAGGACUUAAAUGUAAUAAUCUCAGCCCAAAGUCCGAUUUAUCAAACAGAGUGUCUAGAUCUUUGAAUCAAGUAUCAAGUCAAAGUAGGGAGCAAAUAAAUGGGUAUUAGAAGUGUGUUACCAGCUCUGCCACUCACUACCUGGCUUUGGACAAUUUAUUUUCAGUUUUGCUAAGGAAGCGUGCUAAGUCUUGCAGUAAUUAAUAUUUGUACAGGGCUGUGGAAUCUGUAAAUUAUUUAUUAUGUAUCAGGAAGAGACAUCUAUAUUGCUACAUGUAAAUCCACGAACUCCUGCAAGACAUGCAAUUUUUGUGUCCCCUGGCUUUUAUAGAAUUGCAGAAGUUUCCUCGACAUCAACAAUUGUUCUUGUGUCAUACUACCUACAUAUCUGGCAAUCUGAGAAGUAGCCCCGAGAAGCUCUGAUCUAAUAGCUGUAACUGACUCAAUAAAAUGCUUUAAGCAUUUGCUCAACUUCAAGCCCAUGAGUUGUGCUAUUAAUUCAGUGGAGAUAGCCACUAGAUGAAAAUUAAGCUCAUGCCUAAAUGCCUUGCUGGACUUCUACCAAGUUGUUAGGUGUAUGAUUUAGGUACCUUUCUUAAACUUGCUGAGAUUAGCUCUCCUGAUUUAAAAAUUUAUGGUCUGGCUGAAAGUGGUGGUAAUCUUAGAUUUCUGUGAAACACAGUUUGAGGCAAGAGAUCCCUCAAUAUCUUCUACUGAUCUAAACAUUGACUAAUUUCUAUUUGAUUAUCUUAAUUUUCAAAAUGCUACAUUUUAUGCCUCACACUCUUGUAGCUCAUAUUUAGUCAUUUUAUUUCUCUCAACACAAGGCUAAGACCUAUAAUGCUAUAAACCAUCAUGCCUCAGGCAACUGCAAUAAGGCUACUGCAGUUUACAUGUUUGAAGGUCUGGCUGCUGCUCAGUUCUACUUUUAACAUCAGUGUUACCAUUUGUACUACAGUAUGUAAGUAAGGCAUGUAGAAACAUAUGCUGCAUCUUCCACUUAUGGAGCAGUCUCAGUUAAUUGCAAGGAGCCUAUUGCAAUUAAUAGGCACUACUGAACAGUGCAUAUUGGCUUGCAUUAUCAGGCUUGUAGUCUGUAUUUUAAAGCUGAAAAAUAAGGCUUUUAUUUUAAAGUUGGUAUUUGGGGGCUUAUCUCUAUAAUAACAAAUCUCUGCAUAGCCAUAAAAUUCCAAGGUGUAAUUUUAAAAAAUGUAAGGUAGUAAGUACCAAGAAGUGUGUUUUUUAAGUAAAAACAGUCCUCUGGUGUUUUAUCCAACACCAUUCCAAGCAGUGAUCUGAAAUUUGCUGUCACAGGUCAAUACUCAAAACGGUAAUGAUUCAUUUGCUCUAUGGAUUGUUUUGUUUCCUGUUGAAUAGGUAAAAGUGCAGACCACUGAACAUUUUUGAUACAGGAAUAUUUGUACUGGAAAGGUGCCGCUUCUCUUAGUUACUACAUUAAAAAAAGUCUUUUGCAAUAAAAAGUGUUUUGUUAUUAUUCUAAACAAUAAAAUAUCAGUUAAAAACAGAACAGAUUUUUUUUUUCCAAUAUUAAUCUCAUUUGAAAGUUUAGAUUUAUCAAAGCAUUUCAUGUUUACCUAAAAUCCACAUUGUCUGCUCCCUUGAGAAGUCUGUAAUGCACUCAGGAAAGACUGAGCAUCAGAAAAUACAGAUUCAAAUGACAAAGUAAAAUUCAGGAAAAAAAGCUCUGGUUUUCCUUUGGUAGUAGAUAUGCAUGUUGUUUAACAUUAGUGAUAUAUGUCUUAUGCAUACGUUAUGCAUUUCCAUUUGUACCUAUCUGAAUAAUAUACCUUCUGUUGUUCAAAUGUGUAGCAUGUAUAGUCUCUCAUUCAAAGAUACUUCUGCUGUGUAUUGAAACAUUAAAAUCUUCCAUAUUUCACCUGAAGAGAAGUACAACAUUGUAGAACUGUAAUUCUUUACUGAAGUUAGGGAGUUUUCUUUGUAGUUAAUUGGAUAAAAUCCAUAUAGUUUAUGUAUGACUUAAACUUUGCCUGAGUAGAAAAUGGCAUUGUUCAUUAAUGAAUAACAAAUCCGCACAACAGCUUGGGACAGGAAUUGAAGUAUUGUCUACCUUUAUGAAAUCAUAGAUGGAAUUUAGAAAGCUACAAUGCAAUUAUUAGAACUGGAGCAUGGCCAAGAUCCUUGAGUUAACUUCCCUGUUCUUAUUAGAAGCUAUAUAUUAGAUCUCAUUUCUUGUCUAUCUCUGCUAUAGAUUUGCUGU
Molecule: long non-coding RNA, 5374 nt
Organism: Cuculus canorus (common cuckoo)
Lineage: Eukaryota; Metazoa; Chordata; Aves; Cuculiformes; Cuculidae
Exons: 4
Source: RefSeq, a predicted model, not a curated record